Molecule: long non-coding RNA, 2623 nt
Organism: Astyanax mexicanus (Mexican tetra)
Lineage: Eukaryota; Metazoa; Chordata; Actinopteri; Characiformes; Acestrorhamphidae
Exons: 3
Source: RefSeq, a predicted model, not a curated record
AAAAUUGGGCUCAUAGGCUCAUAUGUGGGCUCAUAUGGCAGUUUAUGUGGCGGGUCGGGUCAGGUCAGGUCAGGCUUGGACAGAAUGGCACAGGCUCAUUCUCUAAGCUCUAUUCACUGCUUUAAAACAUCAACAAAUAGAAAUGUCACAUGCAAAAUCAUUUUGAACACAGUGUGGACAUAAAACAUAUACUGAUACCCUCUUUGCAUACAGUGUGAAGCUACUGUUUACUGAGUUGUUUUCAAUCUGUCCUUCUGUUCCCACAGUGAAGGAGCUGAGAGUACAAGUUUUAGAGUUUGAAAGAAUGUGCAGAUACUCUGAAUGAGCAAAAAAAAAAAAAGAGGAACAAUAGGGCAACUUGUGAUGUUUCCAUUUUUGUCCAUUCACAGCUUGAGCAUGUGAUGUGCUUUCAUUUACUCUCUGCAGAGCUUAGAAGGGGAAAUUGUCUGUAUAUGUUUAUGAUGCGUAACUCUGCAUUCUAAGCUUUUUUGGUGUGAGAUCAGUCAGAAAAACUGCAGAGGAACAGAAGAAAUGCCCAACUUUACAUGACACACAUACGUACAGUACACACGCACACAGAGCACAUGGUACAAUUCCCAGCACAGAUUUGGCAAUAUCUACAGAUAACCAAAGCUGUAAUCAAAGUGGGGAAGGGCCUCAGGAAGAUUGUCCUGUGAAGACGUCUACUCAGCAGCCUAUUGGUCACAUAUUUGUAACAAUCUAGCAAGGCAGCAUGGUGACAUUGGGAUGAAAAACUUGUGUGCCUUAUAGACAUAAAUUAUACUUAUGACAAAAUAACAUUUUAAAACAUGGUCUAUUACAGAGGAUUUGUUUUGUGACAUUUUUGCCCAUUUAUGUAUGCAGAGGAUUGUGGGUAACCAAAGGCAAUGCACGAUACAUAAGUUGCAUCCUUAAAAUCCCUUUGAACAUCCGUUGCAUUCUACAGUUUUAUUCUAAGGGUCCUUCAGUUUGGAACUGCUUUUUAUGUCAUUGACAAUGUCAGUGUGUUUAUAGAGCACAUUUAAAAUAAUGUACGUAGACCAAAGUGCUGCACAGAAGGCUAAAAACAACUCAAAGAAACGAAAAGAAAAAAGCCAACAAAUAUGAGCAAGGACUAAGCAAGUAAAGCAAGGUGGAGAGAGGUAGAGUAAGGACAAAGUAAGGUAGAGUGAGGUAAAGUAAGGAAAAGUAAGUUAAAGCAAGGUAAAGAGAGGUAGAGUGAGGUAGAGUGAGGUAAUGCAAAGUAAAACAAGAUGGAGAGAGGUAGAGUAAGGACAAAGUAAGGUAGAGUGAGGUAAAGUAAGGAAAAGUAAGUUAAAGCAAGGUAAAGAGAGGUAGAGUGAGGUAGAGUGAGGUAAUGCAAAGUAAAACAAGAUGGAGAGAGGUAGAGUAAGGACAAAGUAAGGUAGAGUGAGGUAAAGUAAGGAAAAGUAAGUUAAAGUGAGGUAGAGUAAGGAAAAGUGAGGUAGAAUGAGGUAAAGCAAGGUAGAGUAAGAUAGAAUGAGGUAAAGCAAGGUAGAACAAGGUAGAGUGAGGAAGAGUGAGGUAUAGUCCGGCAAAUCAAUUUAGAGGGAGGUAGAAGGAAGUAUAAUGAGGUAGUGUGGUAAAGCACAGUAAAGUAAGGUAGAGUGAGGUAAAUUGAUGUAGAAUAAGGUUAGGCAAGGAAAAGCAAGCUAGAGAGAGGUAGAGUGAGGUAAUUUGAAGUAAAGCAAGGUGAAGAGAGGUAGAGUGAGGUAGAGUGGGGUAAUGCAAAGUAAAGCAAGGUGGAGAGAGGUAGAGUGAGGUAGAGUGAAGUAAAGCAAGGUGGAGUGAGGUAGAGUGAGGUAAUGUAAAGUAAAGCAAGGUGGAGAGAGGUAGAGUGAGGUAAUGCAAAGUAAAGCAAGGUGGAGAGAGGUAGAGUGAGGUAAUGCAAAGUAAAGCAAGGUGGAGAGAGGUAGAGUGAGGUAAUGCAAAGUAAAGCAAGGUGGAGAGAGGUAGAGUGAGGUAAUGCAAAGUAAAGGAAGGUGGAGAGAGGUAGAAGGAGGUAAAGCAAGGUAGAACAAGGUAGAGUGAGGUAGAGUCCGGCAAAUCAAUUUAGAGGGAGGUAGAAGGAAGUAUAAUGAGGUAGUGUGGUAAAGCACAGUAAAGUGAGGUAGCGUGAGGUAAACUGAGGUAGAAUAAGGUUAGGCAAGGAAAAGCAAGCUAGAGAGAGGUAGAGUGAGGUAAUAAGAAGUAAAGCAAGGUGGAGAGAGGUAGAGUGAGGUAGAGUGGGGUAAUGCAAAGUAAAGCAAGGUGGAGAGAGGUAGAGUGAGGUAAACCAGGGUAGAGCGAGGAAAGUAGAGUAAGGAAGAGUGAGGUAAAUUAAAGUACAGAAAGGGAAAGUAAGGAGGAAGACUGAUGCAGAUGGAACUAGAUGUCCAAAAUCAACAAACACCAAUCUAUUUCUUAUUCAGGAAAAACAGGUGCAGCUGAGACAAGUGCAGACAAAUGUCUGAGGAGCUCAAACUUAUUUAUCUCUUUAUUUAUCUAGUCUUUUAUUGUUAUCAGGACAUCCAUCAGCGUUUUCACAACCUGCAAAUAUUUUUAGCCUCCUCUGAGUGGUCAGAACAUUGUGCACAAUUGAACAUUAUGCUAUGUUUUGAUU